GCUAAUUUGGCAGAUAAUUGUGUCAAAUUUAGAAUUUGAGUAUGGUUUAUAACCAGUUAGUAC
This 63-nucleotide transfer RNA is filed under the name Ornithodoros zumpti. Its description in RNAcentral is "tRNA-Leu". Lineage: Eukaryota; Metazoa; Arthropoda; Arachnida; Ixodida; Argasidae. The record is from RNAcentral.